AACGAACGCUGGCGGCAUGCCUAACACAUGCAAGUCGAACGAGACCUUCGGGUCUAGUGGCGCACGGGUGCGUAACGCGUGGGAACCUGCCUUUAGGUUCGGAAUAACUCAGAGAAAUUUGAGCUAAUACCGGAUGAUGUCUUCGGACCAAAGAUUUAUCGCCUUUAGAUGGGCCCGCGUUGGAUUAGCUAGUUGGUGGGGUAAAGGCCUACCAAGGCGACGAUCCAUAGCUGGUCUGAGAGGAUGAUCAGCCACACUGGGACUGAGACACGGCCCAGACUCCUACGGGAGGCAGCAGUGGGGAAUAUUGGACAAUGGGCGAAAGCCUGAUCCAGCAAUGCCGCGUGAGUGAUGAAGGCCUUAGGGUUGUAAAGCUCUUUUACCCGAGAUGAUAAUGACAGUAUCGGGAGAAUAAGAUCCGGCUAACUCCGUG
RNAcentral lists this ribosomal RNA (433 nucleotides) under uncultured bacterium. RNAcentral describes it as "partial 16S ribosomal RNA". It matches the Rfam family "Bacterial small subunit ribosomal RNA", at positions 29 to 507 of the family's 1533-position model. The record is from RNAcentral.